RNAcentral lists this ribosomal RNA (252 nucleotides) under uncultured bacterium. RNAcentral's name for it is "partial 16S ribosomal RNA". It matches the Rfam family "Bacterial small subunit ribosomal RNA", at positions 524 to 776 of the family's 1533-position model. The record is from RNAcentral.
UACGUAGGGAGCGAGCGUUGUCCGGAAUUACUGGGUGUAAAGGGAGCGUAGGCGGGACUGCAAGUUGGGUGUCAAAUCUACCGGCUCAACCGGUAGCCGCACUCAAAACUGCAGUUCUUGAGUGAAGUAGAGGCAGGCGGAAUUCCUAGUGUAGCGGUGAAAUGCGUAGAUAUUAGGAGGAACACCAGUGGCGAAGGCGGCCUGCUGGGCUUUCACUGACGCUGAGGCUCGAAAGUGUGGGGAGCAAACAGG